Molecule: long non-coding RNA, 3627 nt
Filed under: Gossypium barbadense (sea-island cotton)
Lineage: Eukaryota; Viridiplantae; Streptophyta; Magnoliopsida; Malvales; Malvaceae
Description: long non-coding RNA (GBAR_LNC007864)
Source: RNAcentral
UUUUCGGCAUUUUCCAUAUGAAAUCAUACUUUAGGACAAUUCAUAAUAGUUGGAGAAUAACCAUGUUACCCUAACUCAUGAGUGACUAUCGGGGACGAGUAUGUACCCGUUAUGGAUAUACUCAGUUUCUUUUUAUAGUUUUCAUAUAUCCAAAGAAUCAUACCUCAUACCAAUCAGUAUUUGAGCAUGUGCUAGGCGGAUACGAAUACCUUAGGGGAAAUGAAGAGUCUGCAGACCUACUUGUUGAACACAAAUUAUUUCGUGGUUGUUCUUGAUGAUCUUGUUGUUUUCCCUAUUAACUUGGUGAUUUAUUUCUUGACAUGUUUAGAGACUGCGUUUCGAGCUUCCGAAUGCAAGCAUGCAACGAUUGCCAGAUUGCGGCCACCUUUGUCAUGUCGAUAUGCCUCAGAAUGUUGUGAAGUUGAUAGCAGAUUUUGCUCGAGCCAAAUAACUCCGAGACCAAGAGCCAUUGAUCUAGAUUUGCAGAAGGUAGAUGCUUUAGUAUCAGCAUUAGGGCUUUUUCAGUUCAAGUAAUAACUCAACUGUGGAUUUCUCUGUGUCUUUUAGUUAGCUUUUUUCUAGUAUAUAUACAUAAUAUAAAUAUUUUUUAAAAAGAAAGAAAUAAGAAAAAAAUUGGGAACCAUUGAUGGGUACUUUAAACUUUAAUGAGUAUUUAAUAAAUUAAUUAAUUCCUAAAUUAUGAGAAAAAUACAUUAUUUCUUAGAUGGUAAAAGGGUUUUUAAGAAACUAAGUAAACUUUAAAGGGUCUUUAAGAAAAUUAUUUAAUUUCUUAAGAGUUACUUAAAACCUUAAAGGGUCUUUUUUAAAAAAUAACAAAAUCUUAAACCAUGAAAAAUUACUUAAUUUCUUACUAGUUACAACCUUAAGAAAUUAAUUUCUAAGAAAUUAACUAAUCCCACUAAAUGAGUUUUUAAGAAAUUAAUUGGUAAACCAUGAAAUGAUUACGUACUAGUGUAAUAAUACGAGAAAAAAAUUUGCUUAUUACAUAUGUUUUGUAGCACCCCAAACCCGGCCUAGAAGUUAUGGCCGGAUCUGGCAUACCACAUCAAAAACGUAAAAAAAAAAAUUUCCAUUCUAAGUCUAGAAAAUCGUACUUGAUGUUCAAAAGAUUAAUUCAUUAAAGGUUAAAGUGAAUGGAAGUUGUGCACCAGGUAGGAAACCGGAAAAGAGAUGGUGAGUCCAUCGGACUGCUUAAGUACCAAGCUCCCUUCGGAUCCAAUUCUAGACAUGUAUACCGCCAUUGCCACACCUUAACGUCAUGGAUAUUUUUAAGAAACCGAUUUGAUUAAGUCAUUUUUAGGAAAAGUGAUUAAUUUUGGAAAAUACUUUCAUUGCGGAAGCUUUGCUUGUUGUCAUGUUAUUUUGAAAUCAACUGUUGUUUUUGAAAACGCGCCCUAAAGCUAUCCAAUUUCAACAGUUAAAAUAAGUAUUACCUAUCUUAGUAAUACAUAUUAAAAACCAUCAAAAAUAAAUAAGCGGCCUUAUUACAUUUAAAAACCCAAAACUUCAAACGUAAAUAAAAGGAUGUCCAGUUCACCAGAAGAAAAUCAAACUUUCAGAACAGGUGGCCACUCCGAAUUCUCUCACAGCUCCAAGCCCACUAUGGUUGGGGAUUACCUGCGUGGAUGAAAAUAAAAGGGGUGAGUUUGGGGAAACUCAGUGUGUAAAUUAACCCAACCAUAGCCUAUAUCAGCUUAAACCACAGAAAUAGAAUAAGUUGGCCUUAGCCCAGAACAGAAUUCAAAAUAAAGCCCAUAGGCCCAUAACAGAACAGAACAGAUAUUACAUGUUUAUGCAGAAACCAAACCAUAUCCAACCGUAUACACCCCCGUACCAACCUUACACCGUGUGGGGAGACAACUCGACCCACCCAACCGCUACACACCACAGAAUUUGUAGCAUGGCUGCUAGAACAGAUAAUGAGACAGAGUCACCAGAUACAGAUAAUCGUGGCAGAGCCACCAGAACAGAUAUAUGUGGCAGAGUCACCAGAUCAGAUAUUUGUGGCAUAGCCACCAGAACGCUUCCUCCAUAAUAUAACCCAUGUCCCCAUGCAACAAAUAUAUAAUCAUGGCAUCCAUCAUGCAGAAUCAGAUCGCUAUGCUUUUCAGUCAAAAUUAACCCUACGGGUAUAACGGUAAUUUUGCACCUAGGGGUAUAACAGUAAUUUUCCAUACAUAGGGGUAUUAUAGUAAUUUAGCUACUUUCAGGGUUUUCAUGCAUAUCCUAACUAUUUACGUACUAUCAGAACACUUACCGCGCAUACUUACCGAAUUGGGUCCGUUGGCCCAUGAACCCGAUCUUUGGCCCAUUAAGCCCAAAUUAUCAAAAUGUACGAAAUCGCGCGUACUGCAGUUUAUUACUUUAGAUUACCAAAUAUACAAACCCAACUAUUUUACGAGCAUUCGCACACUCGCAAAUUCCCAAAAUACCGACUUUUCGGCAUUUCGGCUUUUCGGCUUUUGCCAAUCUAGUCUAUGAGAGGGUGUUAGUUACACACCUGUUUGCGACAAUAUGCUAACGAGAUCCACACACGAACUGCCUACAAUUGGAUUACUAACACGUUAAUCUAACUAUUCAAAUACAAACUACGUAUUAACCCCUUACAAUAUUCGGCCAACCACACCUACAGAUCAUAGUAAGCUUAUAAGAAAUCAAUAAGCAACUCAUUAACAAAUUUUUGUCAAUGUUUACCACAUAAUCAUAAUUUCACUGCAAGCUGUCUUCCUGAGCAACAGUCACUAAAUUAUUUAUAACUGGAGCUACGAAACUCCAAAUCAAGUGCCGUUAAUUUUCCCUGAAAAUAGACUCAUAUAUCUUCUAUCCAUAAAAUUUUCAGAAUUUUUGGUAUGGCCAAUCAAUACCAGAUUUUUCUUAAAGUUUCCCAUGUUUCACUGUUUGACUAAUCUGACCACUCUUCAUUACGAAUCAAAUUUCUCAUUAUACAGAAUUCAAAAUAUGUUCUUGUUUAUUUCAUUAGAAACUAGACUCAAUAAUAUUUAAUUACAUAAUUUAUGCAGCUUCUAACUCAUCUUCCACAAUUUAUGGUGAUUUUCCAAAGUCACGUUACUGCUGUUGUCCCAAGCAGAUUUAUUACCAAAUCACUCUUUCACACCUAACUUGCAUGCUUGUUAUUUAAACAUGUAUAUCACCAAUCAAUCAUCACAUAUCUAUGAUUUUACUUAAGUAUAAUCUCCAUUUCAUCAUUUUAAAGCACAACAUGUUAGCUGAUUUUUCCCUUUAACAUCUAAGGCACAUGCAUGCUUAUUUGUUUGGCUCAACUUCACCUAUCUUCCAUUUUUCAUCAAAAGAACAUGAAACAACAACCAUUUCCUUCAUUUUAAUUCAUGACUAAAUGCUCACAACUAAAAAUCAAAAUAUACUUCAAGAGUUAAGGUAGAAUCAAGAAGAACUCAUGAACCUCAAAAUAGAAGCAAGGUACCAAGAACUUACCUUCAAUUUUCCUCCUCCUAAUGACCAAAUACUCAAGAGCUUUCUCCUCUCCUUUCUCUUCUCUAACUUUCAGCUAUGAUGAACAAAGAUGAACAAAACUUUGUUCUUUUCACCCCUUUUUCUUUUAAUAAAACUUCAUAUUUCAUCCAUUUA